Molecule: long non-coding RNA, 3406 nt
Filed under: Xyrichtys novacula (pearly razorfish)
Lineage: Eukaryota; Metazoa; Chordata; Actinopteri; Labriformes; Labridae
Source: RNAcentral
UUCGGAAAAUUGUCUGAAUCCUCCUUUGGCCACGACUGCCGACACAAGCAAGAAAACAAAGUAAAUACCGGAGACUCUGGAGGAAUAACGGGCGCUUAAAACGGAGGUAGACCGGACAAGAGCUAAAAAGCCGGGUCAACAUAAACGAUGGGGGACGCUUGGGGAUCUUCGUGACCCUGUAACCUUUCUGCUGGACAGGUAAACCGCUUUAACAAAGUAAGACAAGUGUCUGUAACAGAAGUGUUUCUUGUCAAACGGACCUGCUGUAGCGUGUUGUAGCGCCAUCGCUAAACUGUCCUCCCUCGGGUCCUGGACUAUGUCACUUUAUCCUCGUUGUAGAAGUCCUGCAAACAUUGUGUUUGCUGGUAGUCUGUUGGCAUCUACAGUAGCACCAAUGCUUUUGACUUUCACCUUGACUGGGCCCCAUUUGUAAUGAUCUGAAGUAUUUAUCUGCAUUAUAUCUGAAUUUAACUGGAACGAUACGAGCGAGCAGGAGCGUCUGUUUGUGGGCGGGGCUUGAGAGAGAGAGAGAGAGAGAGAGAGAGAGAGAGAGAGAGAGAGAGAGAGAGAGAGAGAGAGAGAGAGAGAGUGUUUCUCUGUGUUGUCCCUUUAACUCUGUGGCUCUAAAACAGUUGAAGUGUGUUUCUGCUCGAUGAGGUUUCUAUGAGGUGAAUAAAUGUUGGUUCAGUUGAUCUUCAGGACGGCUGCAGCUUUAAGAACUUCUGCUUGUUGGAGUUUGAGAGUCUAAAGUUCACAGAGACGCUCCUCCUCCUGGAUUGUAGACAAACUGGAUCCCCCCCUCCCUCGUCUCUCUCAGCUCACUCCACUCUGCACUCUCACUUCCUUGUUCCCUCCCCUUCCAUCCUCCCUCCCCCUUCAGAUCUACAGUCUUGGUUGGCUGUAACCUCCGUGUGCUGAGGUCAUAUCCUGUUGACUCACUCAUGUUGUUGAGAUCAGAGCUCAGACUAGUUUCACUUCUCAGGAAAUAAAACUCAGUCAGUCAGUCGUCGACAGCGAGUGUUGAAAUGGCGCAGAAAGGAGUUCAUCUGGACCGUGAGUCUUUCUCUUGUUCCAUCUGUUUGGAUCUUCUGAAGGAUCCGGUGACUGUCUCCUGUGGACACAGCUUCUGCAUGAGCUGUAUUCAAUCCCACUGGGAUACUGAGGUUGAGAGGAUGAUCUACAGCUGUCCUCAGUGCAGAGAGACCUUCAGACCGAGGCCUGUCCUGAAGAAAAACACCAUGUUAGCAGGUUUAGUGGAGGAAGUGAAGAAGAGCGGACUCCAAGCUGCUCCUGAUGGUUCCUCUGAGGCUGGACCUGAAGAUGUGGCCUGUGAUUUCUGCAGUGGGAGAAAACUGAAAGCUGUCAAGUCCUGUCUUCAAUGUCUGGUUUCUUACUGUCAGAUUCACCUCCAGCCUCAUUUUGAAUCUCCUUCAUUUAAGAAACACAAGCUGGUGGAGCCCUCCAAGACGCUCCAGGAGAACAUCUGCUCUCGUCAUGAUGAGGUGAUGAAGAUCUUCUGCCGCACUGAUCAGAAGUCCAUCUGUUACCUCUGCUCUGUGGAACAACACAAAGGUCACGACACAGUCUCAGCUGCAGCAGAAAGGACUGAGAGGCAGAAAGAUCUGGAGGAGAGUCGAGGAAACAUCCAGCAGAGAAUCCAGGACAGAGAAGAAGAUGUGAAGCUGCUCCAACAGGAGGUGGAGGCUAUCAACGGCUCUGCUGAUAAAGCUGUGGACCACAGCCAGAAGAUCUUCAGCCAGCUGAUCCGUCUGAUGGAGAAACGCCGCUCUGAGGUGGAGCAGCAGGUCAGAUCCCAGCAGGAACGUGAAGUGAGUCGAGUCAAAGAGCUUCAGGAGAAGAUGGAGCAGGAGAUCACUGAGCUGAAGAGGAAAGACGCUGAUCUGCAGAAGCUCUCACUCACAGAGGACCACAACCAGUUUCUGCACAGCUACCCCUCACUGUCAGAACCGGGUCAACCUGCAGACUCAUCCAGAAUCAACAUCCGUCCUCAGAGAUACUUUGAGGAGGUGACAGCAGCUGUGUCAGAGCUCAGAGAGAAACUCCAGGAUCUUCUGACAGAGACGUGGACAAACGUCUCACAGGCAGUGACUGAUGUGGAUGUUUUACUGUUAGAACCACCAGAACCAGCAGAACCCAAGACCAGAGCUGGUUUCUUAAGAUAUUCACAAAGAAUCACACUGGAUCCAAACACAGUAAACAGAGAGCUGAUAUUAUCUGAUGGAAACAGAAGAGCAACAAAGACAGAAGAAGAAGAAGAAGAAGAGUCUUAUCCUGAUCAUCCAGACAGAUUCACUGGUAGGAUUCAGGUCCUGAGUAGAGAGAGUCUGACUGGACGUUGUUACUGGGAGGUGGACUGGAGAGGGGACAGGGUUGAUGUAGCAGUCGUAUACAAGACUAUCAGGAGAGACGGAGACUCAGAGGAUUGUUUAUUUGGAUUCAAUGACAAAUCUUGGAGGUUAGACUGUUCUAAAUCUUGUUAUACAUUUUGGCACAACAAAGUCUUCACUCCUGUCUCAGGUCCUCGGUCCUCCAGAGUAGGAGUGUUCCUGGAUCACAGAGCAGGUAUUCUGUCCUUCUACAGCGUCUCUAAAACCAUGACUCUCCUCCACAGAGUCCAGACCACAUUCACUGAACCUCUACAUGCUGGACUGGGGUUAUGGUUUGAUGGAGCCUCUGCUGAGUUUAUAGAAGUGAACUAAAGAGAAUUUUGAGUCCAUCAGACCAAAAUCAUGGACUGAGAUCCUUGAACUCUUGAAAUGUUCUGGUUUGUAAAUGUUUGUGGAUCAGUCUCACCAAAAACUCUGGGUUUAGUUCUUCAUUUCAGCUUUUUGAUUCUUUUCUAAAGAUGCUGAUUUGGUCGCAGCUUUAAGGACAGUGAUUGUGGAGAACUUUGAUUGUUUGUAUUUCUCAUGUUGAAAAAUCUUCAUCCAGUUUGAUAUCAACAACAUCAAGAUGAUGGUUUGUUCAAAUCACCUUCAGUUGGUGCAGAUGUUGAAGGUCUGAGACUUUAGAAAAAAGUGAGGUCAAAAUCACAGAAAAAGGACGACCUUAUUUCCUGUCCCAAAUCCAAGCGUCUAAAGUCUUUCCAGUCGUCCCCAAAAACUCUUCAGAUGAUCUGUUUCUUUCUCUGUUUGCUGAAUAUUUGUGUUCAUGUGAUCGAUGGAUAUUUCUGUCUGCUUCUGUUGGAUCAGUGUGUUUGUAAAGACAUCUAGAAUCAGACUUUGGACAGAUCUACAUGUUGUUAUGAGCUUUUCAAUCACUCUAAUAAUAAUAAUCACAUUCAUUAGUCCGACUGUUUGGAUGUUUCUGACUCAGCUCAGAUUGUGGUCAAGUCUCUGAUUGUGGGUAAAAAAAUCAUAAAAAUCCUCAAACUGAGUCACUGAAA